Molecule: ribosomal RNA, 371 nt
Filed under: Geotria australis
Lineage: Eukaryota; Metazoa; Chordata; Hyperoartia; Petromyzontiformes; Geotriidae
Description: partial 12S ribosomal RNA
Rfam family: Bacterial small subunit ribosomal RNA
Source: RNAcentral
GCCUGCUGUAAAUAAACUACCGUCGCCAGGGCACUACGAACACUCGUUUAAAACCCAAAGAACUUGAUGGUACCCUAAACCCACCUAGAGGAGCCUGUUCUAUAAUCCGAUACCCCACGUUUUACCCCACCGCCUCUUGCCCCCCAGUCUAUAUACCGCCGUCGCCAGCCAACCUUACAAAAGAAUCACCGUAGGCAGGAACGCUUCUAUGCAAACACGUCAGGUCGAGGUGCAGCCAAUGAGGUCGGCAGAAAUGGGCUACACUCUCUUCCCAGAGAAUACGAAUAACUUAAUGAAAUCUUAUAUUUGAAGGUGGAUCUAGCAGUAAAUGAAAACAGUCUAUUUCAUUGAAGUUGGCUUCUAGGAUGCGU